Lontra canadensis (Northern American river otter) is the source of this 364-nucleotide long non-coding RNA. RefSeq lists it as uncharacterized. Lineage: Eukaryota; Metazoa; Chordata; Mammalia; Carnivora; Mustelidae. The record is from RefSeq and is a predicted model, not a curated record. The transcript is spliced from 3 exons.
AGAUUUUCCAGAGAAAGUUUGGCAUUCUACCACCCAGAAGAGGUUACCAUGCUGGCACUCUGGUCUUGGACUUCCAGCAUCCAGAACUAUCUCAUCUAGAACAUUAAAAUCAAUAUACAGUGUGAUUUUUAAGAAAUCAAAUGAUGAAAUUCUUCUCAUUUACAAAUCAAAAUAGCACCAACAUCAAAACCUGCAAAAUGGGUGUCAGUGUCUAGGAAGAAAAUUCUUAAGACAGAAGAAGGGCACUCCUCUGUAACAUGCUGCCUCACCCAUGCUCAUGGUGGCACAGAGGAUAUACUGGAUGGAAAAACAGAGGCAUCUAUCAUGAAGAGUUGAAAAGUGAUUCAAAGGAGUCAAGCCAAUC